AGUUCACCCCAGUCACGCCUCUCUGUUCAGAUUUAGAGCUCGCUCGAGUCGUGGUCGUCAUGGUUGUCGUCGUCACCGCGGCCACCGUCCACCCCAGCGCCUGAGAAGACGUCGAGGAGCUCCGCCAUCGCCGUCUCCUUCGCCCUAGCCGAAGGGCUCGAGCUAGGAAGCCCAGUACGCUCGGCAUCGGGCACAUCUUCAUCGAUACUUCGCCGGCGUCCGACGACGUUUGCCACGGCUCCGGUCCACCCCGGCCUUCGUCGACCGCGCCCACGAGCUCUAUACCCCGAGACCGCUGUUGAUGCCCCUGUGAUCGGCUACGUCAUCGACGACACUUCUACCCCGUUUCAACGAAGCUUCCAGGCUUGUAGGCAUUUUGUUGUGGCAUAUAUGCUUACUCAAACCAGUUGGAUAUGGAAUUGGCCCAGCUGCGCAAGGAGAACCAGAUGCUCAUCCAGCGGCACAGGGAUCUCAUAAACGUAAGUAUGCACAUUUAAUUGACUGAUGAGUUCCUCAGCCUUACUCUAUGCCAAUAUUUAACUUAGGAAAUGUGUUAAAUUUCUACUCAAAUGAAUAGAAAUUUUGGAUGGUUAUGUCUAACCAGCUGGUAUGACUAGGAAAAUAACUAAUAUUAUUUGGUUUGUGUAGCUGCACCUCUAAAUUACAAACCUCUUUUUUG
RNAcentral lists this ribosomal RNA (679 nucleotides) under Triticum aestivum (bread wheat). RNAcentral describes it as "partial small subunit ribosomal RNA". The record is from RNAcentral. Lineage: Eukaryota; Viridiplantae; Streptophyta; Magnoliopsida; Poales; Poaceae.